GACAAAAGGCUGCCUCCUGUUUUGUCCCCUCCACAGGUCCCUGCUUGUCCUUCACUUUUCCCAGGAGGGGAAGUGGCACAAGGAGUUCACCAGGAGUACUGCAGAUGCCAGGGAGGUGGUCAGAAACUUCACAGUCUCCAGACUGUCAGCCAAAAUAAAUCUCUAUUCUUUACACAGUCUCAGGUACUCUGUUAUCACAACAGAAAAUGGACCAAGAUAGUAUCCCACCAGAAAAAAAGAAAUAAGAUGAAAGCCAGCGGGUGUAUUAUGUCUCUGAAGAGUGGUAUAAUACAAAGACAUGUGUGUUUUCCCCAGAGGCAGUAUGACUAUCAGAGCCGUAUAGGUCUCUGAGUAUUACUUGGCUCUCACAGAUUAUUCUGCAAUUAGAAGAGAGAUCGCAAGCCUUUCUCCUUGAGGACACAUUCAAAGCAGAUGUUGUUCAUCACCACUCCCCCGCAAUAAAGAGAUGGAGCAAUGACAUUUACAUUACCUUUCUAUACCAACUAGUAUUCGAUGUACAGAAGAAUUACUUAUUCAUUGGCAAAUUGCCUACCCAG
RNAcentral lists this long non-coding RNA (557 nucleotides) under Fukomys damarensis (Damara mole-rat). Its description in RNAcentral is "lncRNA (ENSFDAG00000032924.1)". Lineage: Eukaryota; Metazoa; Chordata; Mammalia; Rodentia; Bathyergidae. The record is from RNAcentral.